RNAcentral lists this ribosomal RNA (468 nucleotides) under uncultured bacterium. RNAcentral describes it as "partial 16S ribosomal RNA". It matches the Rfam family "Bacterial small subunit ribosomal RNA", at positions 28 to 523 of the family's 1533-position model. The record is from RNAcentral.
GAUGAACGCUGGCGGCGUGCCUAACACAUGCAAGUCGAGCGAUUCUCUUCGGAGAAGAGCGGCGGACGGGUGAGUAACGCGUGGGUAACCUGCCCUGUACACACGGAUAACAUACCGAAAGGUAUGCUAAUACGAGAUAAUAUGCUUUUAUCGCAUGGUAGAAGUAUCAAAGCUCCGGCGGUACAGGAUGGACCCGCGUCUGAUUAGCUAGUUGGUAAGGUAACGGCUUACCAAGGCGACGAGCAGUAGCCGACCUGAGAGGGUGAUCGGCCACAUUGGAACUGGGACACAGGCCAAACUCCUACGGGAGGCAGCAGUGGGUAAUAUUGCACAAUGGGCGAAAGCCUGAUGCAGCAACGCCGCGUGAGCGAUGAAGGCCUUCGGGUCGUAAAGCUCUGUCCUCAAGGAAGAUAAUGACGGUACUUGAGGAGGAAGCCCCGGCUAACUACGUGCCAGCCGCCGCAGUAA